This 429-nucleotide ribosomal RNA is filed under the name Gemmatimonadota bacterium. RNAcentral describes it as "Gemmatimonadetes bacterium partial 16S ribosomal RNA". It matches the Rfam family "Bacterial small subunit ribosomal RNA", at positions 355 to 776 of the family's 1533-position model. Lineage: Bacteria; Pseudomonadati; Gemmatimonadota. The record is from RNAcentral.
UAGGGAAUCUUCGGCAAUGGACGAAAGUCUGACCGAGCAACGCCGCGUGAGUGAAGAAGGUUUUCGGAUCGUAAAACUCUGUUGUUAGAGAAGAACAAGGACGUUAGUAACUGAACGUCCCCUGACGGUAUCUAACCAGAAAGCCACGGCUAACUACGUGCCAGCAGCCGCGGUAAUACGUAGGUGGCAAGCGUUGUCCGGGUUUAUUGGGCGUAAAGCGAGCGCAGGCGGUUUCUUAAGUCUGAUGUGAAAGCCCCCGGCUCAACCGGGGAGGGUAAUUGGAAACUGGGAGACUUGAGUGCCGAAAAGGAUAGUGGAAUUCCAUGUGUAGCGGGGAAAUGCGAAGAUAUAUUGGGGAACACCAGUGGCGAAGGCGGCUCUCUGGUCUGUAACUGACGCUGAGCCUCGAAAGCGUGGGGAGCAAACGGA